RNAcentral lists this ribosomal RNA (301 nucleotides) under uncultured bacterium. Its description in RNAcentral is "partial 16S ribosomal RNA". It matches the Rfam family "Bacterial small subunit ribosomal RNA", at positions 509 to 809 of the family's 1533-position model. The record is from RNAcentral.
CAGCCGCCGCGGUAAUACGUAGGUGGCAAGCGUUGUCCGGAAUUAUUGGGCGUAAAGGGCUCGCAGGCGGUUUCUUAAGUCUGAUGUGAAAGCCCCCGGCUCAACCGGGGAGGGUCAUUGGAAACUGGGAAACUUGAGUGCAGAAGAGGAGAGUGGAAUUCCACGUGUAGCGGUGAAAUGCGUAGAGAUGUGGAGGAACACCAGUGGCGAAGGCGACUCUCUGGUCUGUAACUGACGCUGAGGAGCGAAAGCGUGGGGAGCGAACAGGAUUAGAUACCCCGGUAGUCCCUGUCUCUUAUAU